GUGCUUGCUGUGGCAGCACAUAUAUGAAAACUGAAAUGAUACUGAGAAGAUUAGCACAGCCCCUGUGCAAGGAUGACACGCAAAUUUAUCAAAUGCUCCAAAAAUGU
Octodon degus (degu) is the source of this 107-nucleotide small nuclear RNA. NCBI's taxonomy places the organism in Eukaryota, Metazoa, Chordata, Mammalia, Rodentia, Octodontidae. The record is from Ensembl.